Molecule: long non-coding RNA, 1246 nt
Organism: Oncorhynchus tshawytscha (Chinook salmon)
Lineage: Eukaryota; Metazoa; Chordata; Actinopteri; Salmoniformes; Salmonidae
Source: Ensembl
UCCCUGUGGAACGCUUUAACACCUUGUAGAGUCAACAUGGGCCAGCAUCCCUGUGGAACGCUUUCAACUCCUUGUAGAGUCAACAUGGACCAGCAUCACCGUGGAACGCUUUCAACUCCUUGUAGAGUCAACAUGGGCCAGCAUCCCUGUGGAACGCUUUCAACUCCUUGUAGAGUUCAUGCCCUGAGAAUUUAGGCUGUUCUGAGGGCAAAAGGAGGUGCAACUCAAUAUUAGUAAGGUGUUCUUAAUGUUUUGUAUACUCAGUGUGUACUAUAAUGCAUUGUGCCUCUCAAGGGGGUGGAAACUGAGGCUAGACUGGGCCUGACUGAAGGCUGGCUGGCCUGAUGCAUUAUGACCUGAAGCUCACAGGCAUUUACAAUGCCCUCCACCAAUCCCCUGGCCUGUUACUGUUAGGUUGAAUGCCCUCCACCAAUCCCCUGGCCUGUUACUGUUAGGUUGAAUGCCCUCCACCAAUCCCCUGGACUGUUACUGUUAGGUUGAAUGCCCUCCACCAAUCCCCUGGCCUGUUACUGUUAGGUUGAAUGCCCUCCACCAAUCCCCUGGCCUGUUACUGUUAGGUUGAAUGCCCUCCACCAAUCCCCUGGACUGUUACUGUUAGGUUGAAUGCCCUCCACCAAUCCCCUGAACUGUUACUGUUAGGUUGAAUGACUAACGAUGAACCCUACCUACAGUGAUUUGCUCUGACAGCAUUUUCUAUGUUAAUUUGACUAAUGAGUAACAUUUAAGUAUUUUUUUAGAGAUACUCAUGUCAACAAAUGAAUUUAGUUUAUUUUACAGGGAGAGGUGUAUGAACAGGGGAUGGACACUAUGAGGAAAUGGGAGGGGAGAGGAGGGGAGAGAUGAUGUCAAAUAGUUUUAUAUCCUGAAUGAUGAACCAUGUCUCUGACAUGUUGUAUUUUAUUGGAGCUGUGGAUGUGGCUAGCUCUGGUCCAGGGGGUUAGUGCAUUCCUCGCUGACGCCCUGGACCAGAGCUAGUUGUGGUUAACUGUGGUAGAGAGAAAUAUAAUUUUAAAAUGCUGUAAUUUCAAGUAAAUAAGAAAAGAAACCCAAGACCUUACUUUAAAGACAAGAUCAAAGCUGCUCUCCCUAAUGAGGAGUUGUACAUAUAAAUGUAUUUGAACAAAGUAUUAUUUGCAAUAUUAUAAUGUACAGAAUUGUAUUUAUAAUGUAUCUCAACAAACUGUUUUAAUUGGUACAAAGAUGUUCUAGAAUACAGAACGUUUAC